GACGAACGCUGGCGGCGUGCUUAACACAUGCAAGUCGCACGGGACUGGGGGCAACUCCAGUUCAGUGGCGGACGGGUGCGUAACACGUGAGCAACAUGUCCAAGGGUGGGGGAUAGCCGGCCCAACGGCCGGGUAAUACCGCAUGCAGUCACUGGCGGCAUUGCUGGUGACGAAAGCCGGGGCACCUGGCGCCCAUGGAGUGGCUUGCGGCCUAUCAGCUAGUUGGUGGGGUAACGGCUCACCAAGGCGACGACGGGUAGCUGGUCUGAGAGGAUGACCAGCCACAUUGGGACUGAGACACGGCCCAGACUCCUACGGGAGGCAGCAGUGGGGAAUAUUGCGCAAUGGGCGAAUGCCUGACGCAGCGACGCCGCGUGUGGGAUGAAGGUCUUCGGAUCGUAAACCACUGUCAGAGGGGACGAAGGCCCGGGGUUAACUGCCGCCGGGAUUGACGGUACCCUCGGAGGAAGCACCGGCUAACUCUGUGCCAGC
This 492-nucleotide ribosomal RNA is filed under the name uncultured bacterium. RNAcentral describes it as "bacterial SSU rRNA". It matches the Rfam family "Bacterial small subunit ribosomal RNA", at positions 28 to 512 of the family's 1533-position model. The record is from RNAcentral.